CCAGAAUGAUGAGCAGCUUUCCCCUUUCAGAGAGCAGAUGCUGGAAGAAGCUGAUGGUUGCUCCAGGAUCCUUCACAUAGUACAGCAUCUGUGGGGUUUUAACCACACAAUGAGCAGUGCUGCCUAAUGAUUCGGAUAUGACAAAGACAGAGAGCUGGAAGUUCCUCAACACCAACCUGAACCAUGUGGAUGAAGUCUGCCUUCUUCGUCAUCUUCUUCAGCUUCCAGUGCUCCUCAAACUGAGCCGCAGUCAUCUGGUUCCAGUUGAAUUUAAUGAAGCCCAACUCUGGUUUCUGCCCCACUAAAACUUCAGAGAGAUGAGAAACAAUCCGACUUCAUGUCUGUACUUGACAUUGAAAAUAAACUCAAAACCUGUACAACUUCUUAAUGCUGAAUUCAACACAAUAUUUUCAAUCAUUUCUACAAACAGCCUUUAUUAUCGCAUAAAAUAUAGUGAAAUGUGCUUUUGCAGCACUAUGAGUAAAGUAAAAAGAUGAAAAAAACAACAACAAUUACAUGGAAAGAAGUGAAGAGGCGUUAAAAGAGUGUAAGCAAGAAAAAAAGAAAAGGAGUAGAACACUUUGGUUAGAGCAGCCAUGUUUUUCUUUGGUUUAGAGACAGGAGGUGGAGCUGGAUGAAGAUGUUGAGGUUCUCUUUAGGACCAGGAUGGAGAGGACCAGGAAUGAAUCCAUCAGAGAAACAGAUCAUGGUAGAUGUUUUGGAGAUCAAUGCAGGGAAGCAGAUGGAGAUGAGAGGAGGAACAGGAAUGAUGUUGGUAAAAUAAUGCUGAGAUUAGAGCUACCAGGAAAGAGAACCAAAGGAAGACCAAAGAGGAGGUUCAUGUAAGUAGAGAAGGAGGACAUGAAGGUGAUUGGCAUGACAGAGGAGGAUGGAGAGGAGAGGGUUAGAUGGAGGCAGAUGACUCAACCCCUAAAGGAAGCAGCAUUUAGAUCAAAAACAGGACAGUCAGAAAAUACAGUUAUCUUUUUCCUUUCUUCUAAAUACAAUUUCCAGAUCCUACAUUUUAAACACAGACAUCCAACAAUAUUUACCCCAGAAUACUUAGAAUUUUAAUAAUAUUUAAUGUUACCAUGGUGUUGCUGUAAGGAUUCUGUGGUUUAGUUCAGUAGUUCAGUGGUGUUUUCGGUCAUUGUCUGUUCUCUAUCAGUCUCUCUAGGUUCAUGUUUAUCAUCCGCAGCUUUUCGUUUCUGUUCAUUGUCUUCAGUCAAUAGAAGUAUUUGCUUUUCAGUUCUAUUGUCAGUUCACCUGUUUUUUGUUUCUUUACUGUUUUUGUCCUGUUGAAGUUUAUUUACUAAAUGUUUUACGUUUCUGCCUCCAAGCCCAGUUUCCUGCUGGUACAUCUCCAGUUCCUGACAGCUGUAUCUAAUGUGACUUUGGUUCCAUGUUGGGAUUCACAGCUAAAUUCUCUUUUACAUCUGGUUCUCUAAACAUAGGCUUUUGUUGUGAGUGUAAAUAUUUUUAAUACAAAUACAUGUUGAAGCUGAAUGAUACAGAGUUUAAAGAAGGCAAUUGUAAUCAGAAAAUAUUACGUGAAACGGAUACCCUUAGUGUCAGACCUGUAGUAAGGAAGCUAUGAACUUGCCAUAAAUACUGUUCAUUUAUUUGGAAAA
Non-coding RNA from Oryzias latipes (Japanese medaka), 1631 nucleotides. The record is from RefSeq and is a predicted model, not a curated record. Lineage: Eukaryota; Metazoa; Chordata; Actinopteri; Beloniformes; Adrianichthyidae.